UGCGUAGGUGGUUUGAUAAGUUGGGUGUGAAAGUCCUGAGCUUAACUUGGGGAUUGCGCUUAAUACUGUUGAGCUAGAGUACUGUAGAGGAAGGUGGAAUUUCCAGUGUAGCGGUGAAAUGCGUAGAUAUUGGAAGGAACAUCAGUGGCGAAGGCGACUUUCUGGACAGAUACUGACACUGAGGCACGAAAAGCAUGGGGAGGCAAACAA
RNAcentral lists this ribosomal RNA (210 nucleotides) under uncultured bacterium. RNAcentral describes it as "partial 16S ribosomal RNA". It matches the Rfam family "Bacterial small subunit ribosomal RNA", at positions 568 to 775 of the family's 1533-position model. The record is from RNAcentral.